GAGGGGACAGCCCUCCCCUGCGCGUCGGCAGCGCCUGCAGAACCAGCCCCCGCAGCUCCCAGCUCUGCCGCCAGCCAGACCAGACUCAAACAGGCUGCAGCUCGGCUUGCUUACAGCGGCAGAGACCCAUCACCAAAUACGCAGUGUUUAUAAGCAUAUAUAGCUGGUUUGCUUACAUUUUUGAUUUCCUCCUUUUCUACUUUAUGUCAAAACACAUCUGUGGCUCACUGAGCCUCCAGCAUCUCCCCCAGCUGUGUAAGACUCAUUUAAAUUGCAUCAGCUGUGUCUAAUUUUGCCUCCUAUACAAGUGAUUAAAAUAAAUGACAGCUCUUCUCUGAAAAAGGGUAGUCAAUGCUCCCUGGGGCGGAUGCACAGGGCUGGCAGCCCCUGGUCUCCGGCACUGACCGUGCCUGGGCACCCUCCGCCCGGACCACCCCAAGCAGACACAGGAACGGAGCAAGAAAAUGGGGCUUUUCUCUUUCUCAGGACACUUUUCUGCUGGGGAAACACCAGGACCAAGGCCGGGCAGCUUGCUGACCAUUGCCCCUCGCCAUCUCCCCUCUGCGAACAAAAGGCUUUGCUGAGGGAAAGGCUGCUGCCCCCAUUCCCACGGGGAUGAGCCGACCCGCAGCGGUUACUGCGAAGACGCAGCAGAUGCAGAGCAGGGACUUUUCCCCCCCGUUUGGGAUUUCAAUCACAGCCCUCACCCCCCGCCAGCCCAUCAGUGAGGAGGUCACAAUACUGGUCUAAAAUUAAUUUUCUAUUUCAGUAGAGGUAUUUCCUCUCUUCCUCUUGAGCAACAGCUAUUUCUGCCUGGCAAUAGUGUCUCUGUGCCCUGAAGAAAGCGUUUAACACAGAAGCUGCUGGUGCUGACGGCUCCAGCGGCUGCCGAUGGACCGGGAUCAAGCGCCAGAUCCCAGCCCCACAUCGCACUCCCAGGCUGGGGGUUUGGUCCAGCCCCCCGGGUGCUGGGGGGAAACGUGGGUUUUUCCUGCUGGUUGAGCAGAGCGGAUGAGGAAUUGGUGUGAAGCCCAGAGAGGGACGGGACGGGAGCGGUGCCCGUCCCAAACCUGCCGGGAGAGCAGCCACGCCACACGACAGCAUCAGAGCCGGUCCGGAAAAGGCAACAGCUUACUCGUGUGAUGCUCCAUCAGGGUCUCAGGGAUGGUAUUCCCUGGGAGCAUCCCUGCGGCUCUGCACGGCAUCCCCCGAGCCCCCAGAACCCUUUCACAUCGGGACAUUCGAGCACAUGAAUACACGUAUUCCCGCUUGCACGUGCUGCAGGACAGGGGUGUCUCAAGCAGGGAUCCCAAAACACCUCUGGGGUGUCUGAUGAGAGAGAAAAGCCUGAGGGCACGUCAGCCUGGAGAACCCCCAGUCCUGCCCCCAACGGCUGGCGUUGGUGACGGCAAUACUGGGAUGCACUGGCCGAGCUGGGCCUUAAACCGCAGCGGUGCCAGCGCCGGCUGAGCGCACCGACCCCAGCCAUCGCUCCCCCCCAGCAGGACUCCGCAAUCAUUUACUCCUCACCGGGGCAUGGCCGCUGGGUAACCCCCACCUGCCUGACCCGUGCUUCCCGCGGGAUUUAUAAACUUGUGGUAGUUCGGGUUGCUGGUUUUGGACGCGACACUGAGUCGGAGAUGGGGAACGCAGCGAUGGCUCCCAACAGGCACGGAGAGGGGCUGGUGUGCUCCGGGGGGUUAAUUAUUCACUGUGUUGCAUGGAGGAAGUGUAACCGCAGUAAAAACUCCACGGUGUUUAGGAGAACUCAGUUAAAAAUACUGCAGGGAUGGAUGGGAAUGUCACCGGCGCUUCGGAGGGUCAGUCCCGGGCGAUGCUCCUGCGGGAUGCCGUGCUGGGGCAGAACCCCACCGAGCGCUCAGUAUUUUUAGCCCGCUGCGGCUGUGCCUUGCUGGGCUCGUCUCCGUUCACGAGCCCUCUGCUUAUCGCAGCCGUCUUCCUAGAAAGCUAUUUAUGGAUCGCAACCAAGCUGCCUCCUGCCUUCCCUUGAAAGAGCUGUAAAGGCCACGGGGCCGGAGCCUCUCCCUGGCCGGUCGCUUUCCAGGAGCAGAGGUUAUCUGCAAAGGUAUGAGCCGACCGCGGAAUGGCAGCCGGGACGGGCUCAGCGGAGGGCGGAGAAGAGCCACCACCCUUGGCUGGAGGCAUCGCUGCAGCCACGCUGCUGACCUUCCGCCAGACCCCGCCGCAGGACUCCGGGUUUCCAAAGCGUUUUAAUAACAUGAAGUCAAUGGGAGUUGACCAGGCCGGGAAACGGGGCUUGGCAGCAGCGCUGAGCCCUCCUCUAUUCCAAGACCGAGUGAAACCGAACCCAGGCAGGACCCCCGGCGCGUGACUGCCAGUGUUCCCGCGUGGCUAAGCGCAGUCAUUCCUUCGGCC
Molecule: long non-coding RNA, 2397 nt
Organism: Chroicocephalus ridibundus (black-headed gull)
Lineage: Eukaryota; Metazoa; Chordata; Aves; Charadriiformes; Laridae
Exons: 3
Source: RefSeq, a predicted model, not a curated record